RNAcentral lists this transfer RNA (64 nucleotides) under Mansonia uniformis. Its description in RNAcentral is "tRNA-Asn". The record is from RNAcentral. Lineage: Eukaryota; Metazoa; Arthropoda; Insecta; Diptera; Culicidae.
UUAAUUGAAACCAAAAAGAGGUUUAUCACUGUUAAUGAUACCAUUGAGUGAAUACUCCAAUUAA